This 128-nucleotide small RNA is filed under the name Escherichia coli. RNAcentral's name for it is "partial RtT sRNA". It matches the Rfam family "RtT RNA". From Rfam's summary of the family: This family represents a bacterial cis-regulatory element known as RtT RNA. The exact function of RtT is unknown although it is thought that it may be involved in changing the cellular response in relation to amino acid starvation. Lineage: Bacteria; Pseudomonadati; Pseudomonadota; Gammaproteobacteria; Enterobacterales; Enterobacteriaceae. RNAcentral also lists the same sequence under 1 other name. The record is from RNAcentral.
UGCCCAAGCGGGGAAGGAUGAGAAGCUUCGACCAAGGUUCGACUCGAGCGCCAGCGAGAGAGCGUUGCCGCAGGCAACGACCCGAAGGGCGAAGCGCGCAGCGCUGAGUAAUCCUUCCCCCACCACCA